UCUGUUUCCUUUUCCAGAUCAAUACAGAGUUUAAGCAAAAACCUCAAGCAAGAAUUCUUCUUUGCACUUGAUCAACAUACAGCUCGAUUUCUGGACAUUUUUGAAACCAAGAAAGGGGCAGUUUGAAAAAGACUUUCUGAGUAUCUUCAGGAAAUGAAAUCUGUGAGCACUGACGUCACUGCUAAGCGGACAGCAGUUCUUUGUGGCCUCCCUCUACUUUUUGGAGAAGAAACUUCUGACUUUUUUAAAACAAUGUCGGCAAGUACCUUUCUUAUAUUUCAUUCUAAACUAUAAUCAACUAUAUGUGCCAAAUCUACCAAAAAAUAUAUUUAGUUCAUUUGCAAAGGCCAAAUCAUCAUCCCCAUGAUUACUCGGAAAUGAUUUCCUCUUCUCCUGUCCUAUCAUUGUAUACACUCACUGCCAUGCCUGCCUUAAAUUAUUAUCCCUCAUCUUUCUCUCAAUCUUUUGCUUUUAAUUAUGUUUACACCUAAUAAUAAUGUGUCUUAUUUCUCUUUGCAUUACUUGUGUGGUUAAAACGUCCCGUUUCCAAAAGAUUAUUGGAGUUUAUGGCUUUACAAGAUGAUGAAUAUAAUGUGGAAACACCACAAAAGCAAAACAAAGACAUAUUAUGACAUUGGUGAGGAUGAAAUGAAUAGUUUUAUCAUCUCAAUUGAAAAAUAAUAUUCUUUAAGUAGCUGCUGACCUGUCCAAGAAGACUGUCAUCCGAAAAAAGCUCCAAAGGAUCUCAAAUGUCCAAAGACAGAGGAGAGCACUGAGGAUGGUGAACUCACAGAAGUAUCCUGGAAGUGGUAUGAUGCCAUGGAUGAGGCAGUUGGAGGCAGACCUUCAUUUAGUCCACCUUCCCUUAUUGCCUCAUCUGAUACAGAUGUUGCUUUGACCACAUCAGCCUCAGUGAGCCCAGAGCCAGAGAGAACUGGGACAAAAAGAAAAAACUUUGAGGACCUAAUCCGGGAG
Ctenopharyngodon idella (grass carp) is the source of this 975-nucleotide long non-coding RNA. RefSeq lists it as uncharacterized. The transcript is spliced from 3 exons. The record is from RefSeq and is a predicted model, not a curated record. NCBI's taxonomy places the organism in Eukaryota, Metazoa, Chordata, Actinopteri, Cypriniformes, Xenocyprididae.